UACGGAGGGUGCGAGCGUUGUCCGGAAUCACUGGGCGUAAAGGGCGCGUAGGCGGCGCGGAUAGUCGGCGGUGAAAGCCCGGAGCUCAACUCCGGGUCGGCCGUCGAUACUUCCGGGCUUGAGCACUGUAGAGGCAGAUGGAAUUCCGGGUGUAGCGGUGGAAUGCGUAGAGAUCCGGAAGAACACCGGUGGCGAAGGCGGUCUGCUGGGCAGUUGCUGACUGGAU
RNAcentral lists this ribosomal RNA (226 nucleotides) under uncultured bacterium. RNAcentral's name for it is "partial 16S ribosomal RNA". It matches the Rfam family "Bacterial small subunit ribosomal RNA", at positions 524 to 747 of the family's 1533-position model. The record is from RNAcentral.